UAGAAGGUUUUGGAUCAUGGCUCAGAUUGAACGCUGGCGGCAUGCCUUACACAUGCAAGUCGAACGGCAGCACGGGUGCUUGCACCUGGUGGCGAGUGGCGAACGGGUGAGUAAUACAUCGGAACAUGUCCUGUAGUGGGGGAUAGCCCGGCGAAAGCCGGAUUAAUACCGCAUACGAUCCACGGAUGAAAGCGGGGGACCUUCGGGCCUCGCGCUAUAGGGUUGGCCGAUGGCUGAUUAGCUAGUUGGUGGGGUAAAGGCCUACCAAGGCGACGAUCAGUAGCCGGUCUGAGAGGACGACCAGCCACACUGGGACUGAGACACGGCCCAGACUCCUACUGGUGAAGCACGCCAGUGGGGAAUUUUGCACAAUAGGCGAAAGCCUGAUCCAGCAAUGCCGCGUGUGUGGAAGAAGGCCUUCGGGUUGUAAAGCACUUUUGUCAGGAAAGAAAUCCUUGGCUCUAAUACAGUCCGGGGAUUGACGGUACCCGAAGAAUAAGGCACCGGCCUAACUACGUUGCCAGCAGCCGCGGUAAUACGUAGGGUGCAAGGCGUUAAUUCGAAAUAACUGGGCGGUAAAGCGUGCGCAGGCGGUUUGCUAAGACCGAUGUGAAAUCCCCGGGCUCAACCUGGGAACUGCAUUGGUGACUGGCAGGCUAGAGUAUGGCAGAGGGGGGUAGAAUUCCACGUGUAGCAGUGAAAUGCGUAGAGAUGUGGAGGAAUACCGAUGGCGAAGGCAGCCCCCUGGGCCAAUACUGACGCUCAUGCACGAAAGCGUGGGGGAGCAAACAGGAUUAGAUACCCUGGUAGUCCACGCCCUAAACGAUGUCAACUAGUUGUUGGGGAUUCAUUUCCUUAGUAACGUAGCUAACGCGUGAAGUUGACCGCCUGGGGAGUACGGUCGCAAGAAUUAAAACUCAAAGGAAUUGACGGGGACCCGCACAAGCGGUGGAUGAUGGUGAAUUAAUUCGAUGCAACGCGAAAAACCUUACCUACCCUUGACAUGGUCCGGAAUCCUGCUGAGAGGCGGGAGUUGCUCGAAAGAGAGACCGGCGCCACAGGUGCUGCCAUGGCUGUCGUUCAGCUUCGUGUUCGUGGAGAAUGUAGGGUUAAGUUCCCGCACACGAGCGCAACCCUUGUCCUUAGUUGCUACGCCAAGAGACACUCUAAGGAGACUGCCGGUGACAAACCGGAGGAAAGUGAUGGAUGACGGAUCAAGUCCUCAUGGCCCUUAUGGGUAGGGCUUCACACGUCAUACAAUGGUCGGAACAGAGGGUUGCCAACCCGCGAGGGGGAGCUAAUCCCAGAAAACCGAUCGUAGUCCGGGUUGCACUCUGCAACUCGAGUGCAUGAAGCUGGAAUCGCUAGUAAUCGCGGAUCAGCAUGCCGCGGUGAAUACGUUCCCGGGUCUUGUACACACCGCCCGUCACACCAUGGGAGUGGGUUUUACCAGAAGUGGCUAGUCUAACCGCAAGGAGGACGGUCACCACGGUAGGAUUCAUGACUGGGGUGAAGUCGUAACAAGGUAACCGUAAAUCGGCAUCCCCCCGAGAAGCCCCCC
Molecule: ribosomal RNA, 1561 nt
Filed under: Burkholderia vietnamiensis
Lineage: Bacteria; Pseudomonadati; Pseudomonadota; Betaproteobacteria; Burkholderiales; Burkholderiaceae
Description: bacterial SSU rRNA
Rfam family: Bacterial small subunit ribosomal RNA
Source: RNAcentral